Molecule: unclassified non-coding RNA, 262 nt
Filed under: uncultured fungus
Lineage: Eukaryota; Fungi
Also listed under: 1 other name
Description: partial contains 5.8S ribosomal RNA, internal transcribed spacer 2, and large subunit ribosomal RNA
Rfam family: 5.8S ribosomal RNA (bases 1-52)
Source: RNAcentral
AACGCACAUUGCGCCCGCCAGUAUUCUGGCGGGCAUGCCUGUCCGAGCGUCAUUUCAACCAUCAAGCCCCCGGCUUGUGUUGGGGACCUGCGGCACACCCGCAGGCCCUGAAAACCAGUGGCGGGCUCGCUGUCCACACCGAGCGUAGUAGCAUAUCUUUGUCUCGCUCAGGGCGUGCGGCGGGUUCCGGCCGUGAAACCCACCUUCUCGAAGGUACCCAAAGGUUGACCUCGGAUCAGGUAGGAAGACCCGCUGAACUUAA